GCUUAGAUAACAAUACAGUGCCUCUCUUUCUUUACCUCUUUCCCCACAAUUUCUUCCUUUUUCUUGAAUCCCAGCCCAUCCUUGAGGCCUGCCACCAAUUGGAAGAUCUUCAGUUCCACCUCUUUCCUGGACAUCUGACUGUAUUGCCCAUCAUUGUCUAUGCUCUGCCCACCGAGAAGAUGCAUCUGGAUCCCUGGUGUCACUUAUUGCUGAACUGUUUGAAUACCAAGUUAUACCGACCUGAAUCUCCCAAGUACCAACAGCAGCCUGGCUCGAAGCCAGAAGGAAUGACUGGAUAUCCCAAGUACCUGAUGGCCACAUAAACAUUUGAAGUAUCAAGCAUUAGAAGAAAGGUCCUGGCCAUCGCUGUGAGGCUGAAUGGAUACAGAUGCUACGGAUGGACGUGUCAUAAUAGUUUUAGCCACCAGAAGGAGCUCUAAAACAGACUACAGGGAAGUAUUAGACGUUCUGGCAAAGAGGAGGAAAAUAAUAUAUUGUCUACAGAUGGAGAGUGUAAACCACAUUAAAACUUAAUAAAGAAUUACAGAGUGGCUGAGGGAAUUAUAACACUAAAAAUUCUUCAGAAGACAAAAUACAAGUGCCCAAAGGCAUUAUGCUAGUACUGUGGUUUUGUUUUUUCUUUUUUAAGGGGAAAAAAUACACGAGAAAUAUUGAUUCAAUUAGUGAAGCCAAACAAGGCAUGAGAUUGUAAAUGAGAAUAAAUUUACACAGAGCUUCUCAACCCCUCCAUCUGCCAAAAUAUUCCUUUCAGUGGAGUCAGCCUUAUAGAUGAACAUUGGAAGAUGAUUCAAAAGAUGCUGACAGCUUCCCUUCAUCAGAAAUUUCUCUUCUGAUUAACCUCUAGUGCCUGAAAUUCUUAAGAC
RNAcentral lists this long non-coding RNA (884 nucleotides) under Homo sapiens (human). RNAcentral describes it as "HSALNT0347056". Lineage: Eukaryota; Metazoa; Chordata; Mammalia; Primates; Hominidae. The record is from RNAcentral.